UCGCUCUAAGAGGAGCCUGCGUUGGAUUAGCUAGUUGGUGGGGUAAAGGCCUACCAAGGCUACGAUCUAUAGCUGGUCUGAGAGGAUGAUCAGCCACAAUGGGACUGAGACACGGCCCAUACUCCUACGGGAGGCAGCAGUAGGGAAUCUUGCGCAAUGGACGAGAGUCUGACGCAGCAAUACCGUGUGUGGGAAGACGCUCUGUGGAGUGUAAACCACUGUCAGAUGGGACGAAAUAAAUGACUGUACCAUCAAAGGAAGCACCGGCUAACUCUGUGCCAGCAGCCGCGGUAAUACAGAGGGUGCAAGCGUUGUCCGGAUUUAUUGGGCGUAAAGCGUCUGUAGGCGGUUUACCAAGUCCGAAGUGAAAUAAUGGGGCUUAACUCCAUAUCCGCUUUGGAAACUGGUAGACUAGAGACUGUUAGAGGUGAAUGGAAUUUCCAGUGUAGCGGUGAAAUGCGUAGAUAUUGGAAGGAACACCAGAGGCGAAGGCGGUUCACUGGGACUGUUCUGACGCUGAGAGACGAAAGCUAGGGGAGCGAAAGGGAUUAGAU
Molecule: ribosomal RNA, 554 nt
Filed under: uncultured bacterium
Lineage: Bacteria
Description: bacterial SSU rRNA
Rfam family: Bacterial small subunit ribosomal RNA
Source: RNAcentral